UCUCUCUGCUGCCCAGGCUGGAGUGCAGUGGGAUGAUCUCGGCUCAUUGAAACCUCCACCUCCAGGUUCAAGCGAUACUCCUGCCUCAGGCUCCCGAGUAGCUGGGACUACAAGUGUGCACCACGAUGCCCAGUUUGUCAAGGAUGUCUGUUCUGUAAGUCAAGGGAAUUUUCUGAAUGAAUAUUCAACUGAAAAUAUUUAAAUAGAAAAGAAGAUGAGUAUGCUGUGUGUGUAUGUACGAGGAGAUGCAGGUGCCCUUUCCUGCAUUGCCUGUUAUGCUGUCAAACCUCCCAUUUGGGCAGGCCUGAGGAGAGACAGCUCACUCAGUAUCAGCUUGGGCAGCUUGAAGACCAGACUGAGGUCAUCUGAAGGCUCUCUAUUAAAUUUUUUUAAUAGAGAUAAAAAUGUGAGUAUCCCAGAAGGAAGCUUUUAUGACAGCAUAGAAAGUCACAUAGCAUCAAUUCUGUUUUAGUCACAGACCCUCAUAGACCCAAGAUCCUUCAAAGAAAGAAUGAGUGUUACAUAAAAGAUGAUAAUAUUGGAUGGGGUUGCAGUUUGCUUAGUCCCUAGCUUAGUUAGGUCCAAGUUCUUGUCAAACAACCAAUAAGAAUAAGGGACAUGGACACCAGAGAAUGAGUAGAAUAGGAUUUAUUAAGCAAAUUGAAAGCUCUUAGCAAAAAGAGGGGGCCUGAAAGCAAGUUGCCAGAAAUGGGGCUGAGUUCUGUGUUUUUGAUAUGGCAGAAGUCAGGAUGUUUUCUGUGGGUUUGUGACUUCAUGUUUGUUAUUACCCAUGAAUACCUAAGCAAAACCGAGGGAGGGCUAACACAACAAUACUAAUGCCAUGUUAAUGACAUUAUAAUGAGCUGGGUUAAGUUAAGUACAUUUAGGUUGAUUUAUUGUGCCUGUGCCUAAGUUGGAACAGUCCCUUUGGGCAACAUCCUGGCACAAGGGGAAAUUCUUAACCACGUUUCUUCCCAUUAGCUGCAGAGGCAGUGUAGGUGCUGUGUUGAGGUUGUUCCUGUGAACAUUGCCUUUCUCUGUCCUUCUCCCGAGACCCUCCCUCUUUGUCUGCCUAUCCAGCCCCUAACCACCUCCUCCCUCAAUGGAAU
This 1109-nucleotide long non-coding RNA is filed under the name Homo sapiens (human). RNAcentral's name for it is "HSALNT0081179". Lineage: Eukaryota; Metazoa; Chordata; Mammalia; Primates; Hominidae. The record is from RNAcentral.